GGGCCCGCACAAGCGGUGGAGCAUGUGGUUUAAUUCGACGCAACGCGAAGAACCUUACCUGGGUUAGACAACGGUGGACCGUUCCAGAGAUGGAGCUUUCCCUUCGGGGACUGCCGGUUCAGGUGCUGCAUGGCUGUCGUCAGCUCGUGUCGUGAGAUGUUGGGUUAAGUCCCGCAACGAGCGCAACCCUUGUCUCUAGUUGCCAGCAUUUAGUUGGGCACUCUAGAGAGACUGCCGGCGUUAAGCCGGAGGAAGGUGGGGAUGACGUCAAGUCCUCAUGGCCCUUAUGCCCAGGGCUACACACGUGCUACAAUGGUCGGUACAGAGGGCUGCGAAGCCGCAAGGUGAAGCCAAUCCCACAAAGCCGGCCUCAGUUCGGAUUGGAGUCUGCAACUCGACUCCAUGAAGGUGGAAUCGCUAGUAAUCGCGGAUCAGCACGCCGCGGUGAAUACGUUCCCGGGCCUU
Molecule: ribosomal RNA, 465 nt
Filed under: uncultured bacterium
Lineage: Bacteria
Description: bacterial SSU rRNA
Rfam family: Bacterial small subunit ribosomal RNA
Source: RNAcentral